Daucus carota subsp. sativus is the source of this 647-nucleotide long non-coding RNA. RefSeq lists it as uncharacterized. The transcript is spliced from 2 exons. The record is from RefSeq and is a predicted model, not a curated record. Lineage: Eukaryota; Viridiplantae; Streptophyta; Magnoliopsida; Apiales; Apiaceae.
AACGACUAUAUGAGACACACACAUAUCCACCAAAUAUUCAUGUCACUCACCCCCCAUUAAGCUGUUUGACAUUGUCAAUUUUGGUCUCCACAACUCUUUCCACAGGUUUCAAGCAGCAAGGGGCGACGAUGGCUGAUUGGAUCCGACCAGUCACGCUGUCGCGUCUGUGGAAUCGAUGUUAUAAUCUCUUCAGCAGCAGUGACUUCUUCAUUAGUACCAUAAACACGAUUAAGGAUGUGCUAAGCUGGUCUGGUCUGUUCAUCAUCUCCUUGCUGAUUGGGAUCUGGAUUAAGCUAGCAAUUACAGGUCUAGCUAGCUUUCUUCCAGGGGAUGUGCCAAGUUGGAAAACUAGCUGGACCGUAGGCAUUGCCAUAUUUACCUUCAGCUGUUAUUGUCUGGAGGAAUGUCUGAAAAUGAAGAGAGCUCAACUUGCUCGAGCUCUACUGGAUCCUUCGAGGAGGAACAACAUAGAAUUUCGUAAUGGCACUGUUUACUGAGAAUCCUGUUGUAAGGUUGUUAAUACUUCUGAUACAUUAUCCAUAUGCAUAUGCUUAAAGGGGUUUGAUACUUCAAACCAUCACAUGGACAAUCAUUGUAAAAUUGAUUCAUCUGGUAUGCGAAUCCUAAACGAAUCGUGCUUGAUCUCA